ACUCCAUAGCCCGCGCCCGCGUUCUUCCUCCCCCAUCUCGUCUCAUCUCCGGUCGCUGCAGAGGAGCCCAGUUUCGCGCCGCCACCAUGGUUGGCCUGCAGCGAGCAGCAGAGGACCUAGCCGCCGCGUCCGACCUCAACCGCCGCCCGAAACCCUAGCCCCUCCUUCCAACGGCAGGUCAAGCCAGCAGGAUCCCCUCCAAGAAUAGCAUUUGAUGUGUGAGUGCAUAUCCUUCUCUUCUUCUUCUUCUUCUCGAUUUGAUGUGUGCGUGCGUGCUGUUGUGUGCAGGCCCGACUCAUCUCUGCUUGUGCACAACAAGGAAGGCCAUGGAGACGCUGCUCCCUAUAUUCAGCGCGUGGACGGACGAUGCAGCGUUGGGGAUGACUCAUGGCUGCCUCCGUUUGUGCAGAUUGGGUACUCUGGAGCACAUGGGAGGAGGAGAAGGAUGGGAGGUGUGUAGAAUUCGGCGCCAAGGGAGACGAUCGAGAUGGUGGAGCAGAAUCCAGAGGACGACGGGAGACCAGAUAGAGGAGAGACAACACCCGGAUAUCGGGCAGUGAAUGCACACAAUGCAAGGAUACUUUAAACAAAUACAAGUAUCAUCCAUAUGAAGGUCAUCGGGCGUUUGGAAGAGAAGAAUGAUGCAUAUAUCAUCUCAGUUCAGGUCGCUGGAGUUGUUUGGUUUUUCUUCUCAUGUGGAUGCUCCAUACUGUAAACUACGCUCUGUACUUGGAGACAAUCACCAAGUCCUUUUUUGUACAAACUAAUCUAAGCUUUUUGUUCUUCUCAAGUAGCUAUUUUAUUUUGCUAAUUCUGUGUAUAGCUGCUAUUAAACAGAAGUCCUUUGAUGUCAGAUGCAAAGUUGAUGAAGUUUUUUUCUA
Molecule: long non-coding RNA, 881 nt
Organism: Triticum dicoccoides
Lineage: Eukaryota; Viridiplantae; Streptophyta; Magnoliopsida; Poales; Poaceae
Exons: 2
Source: RefSeq, a predicted model, not a curated record